RNAcentral lists this ribosomal RNA (519 nucleotides) under Enterobacter asburiae. RNAcentral describes it as "bacterial SSU rRNA". It matches the Rfam family "Bacterial small subunit ribosomal RNA", at positions 123 to 637 of the family's 1533-position model. Lineage: Bacteria; Pseudomonadati; Pseudomonadota; Gammaproteobacteria; Enterobacterales; Enterobacteriaceae. The record is from RNAcentral.
AAACUGCCUGAUGGAGGGGGAUAACUACUGGAAACGGUAGCUAAUACCGCAUAACGUCGCAAGACCAAAGAGGGGGACCUUCGGGCCUCUUGCCAUCGGAUGUGCCCAGAUGGGAUUAGCUAGUAGGUGGGGUAACGGCUCACCUAGGCGACGAUCCCUAGCUGGUCUGAGAGGAUGACCAGCCACACUGGAACUGAGACACGGUCCAGACUCCUACGGGAGGCAGCAGUGGGGAAUAUUGCACAAUGGGCGCAAGCCUGAUGCAGCCAUGCCGCGUGUAUGAAGAAGGCCUUCGGGUUGUAAAGUACUUUCAGCGGGGAGGAAGGCGAUAAGGUUAAUAACCUUGUCGAUUGACGUUACCCGCAGAAGAAGCACCGGCUAACUCCGUGCCAGCAGCCGCGGUAAUACGGAGGGUGCAAGCGUUAAUCGGAAUUACUGGGCGUAAAGCGCACGCAGGCGGACUGUCAAGUCGGAUGUGAAAUCCCCGGGCUCAUCCUGGGAACUGCAUUCUAAACUGGC